GGCUCUAUUGACCUCCGAGCCAGUCACCUAACGUCAUGAAUUGGACCCGCUCCCAUUGAAGCGGGUCAUUUUUUUGAAAGCAUUCCCUGA
Small RNA from Brucella melitensis, 90 nucleotides. It matches the Rfam family "Brucella sRNA 119". The record is from Rfam. Lineage: Bacteria; Pseudomonadati; Pseudomonadota; Alphaproteobacteria; Hyphomicrobiales; Brucellaceae.